GUGGGGAAUAUUGCACAAUGGGCGAAAGCCUGAUGCAGCGACGCCGCGUGAGGGAUGACGGCCUUCGGGUUGUAAACCUCUUUCAGCUCCGAAGAAGCGCAAGUGACGGUAGGAGCAGAAGAAGCACCGGCUAACUACGUGCCAGCAGCCGCGGUAAUACGUAGGGUGCAAGCGUUGUCCGGAAUUAUUGGGCGUAAAGAGCUCGUAGGCGGUGUGUCGCGUCUGCUGUGAAAACUCAGGGCUCAACUCUGAGCUUGCAGUGGGUACGGGCACACUUGAGUGCUGUAGGGGAGACUGGAAUUCCUGGUGUAGCGGUGAAAUGCGCAGAUAUCAGGAGGAACACCGGUGGCGAAGGCGGGUCUCUGGGCAGUUACUGACGCUGAGGAGCGAAAGCAUGGGGAGCGAAC
RNAcentral lists this ribosomal RNA (407 nucleotides) under uncultured bacterium. RNAcentral describes it as "bacterial SSU rRNA". It matches the Rfam family "Bacterial small subunit ribosomal RNA", at positions 354 to 773 of the family's 1533-position model. The record is from RNAcentral.